RNAcentral lists this unclassified non-coding RNA (233 nucleotides) under uncultured fungus. Its description in RNAcentral is "sequence contains ITS2". The record is from RNAcentral. Lineage: Eukaryota; Fungi.
AACACACAUUGCGCCCCUUGGUAUUCUGAGGGGUGUGCCUGUUCGAGCCUCAUUACAACCCUCCAGUAUUAAGCUUCGCUGUUCACCCAGCGGGCCUUAAAAUCAGUGGCGGUACUAUCAAGGCCCUGAGCGUAGUAAAUAUCCUCGCUAUAGGGGCCAGGUGGAUGCUGGCCAUUAACCCCCAAUUUUCUAAGUUUGACCUCGGAUCAGGUAGGGAUACCCGCUGAACUUAA